This 1053-nucleotide ribosomal RNA is filed under the name Escherichia coli. Its description in RNAcentral is "bacterial LSU rRNA". It matches the Rfam family "Bacterial large subunit ribosomal RNA", at positions 1878 to 2925 of the family's 2925-position model. Lineage: Bacteria; Pseudomonadati; Pseudomonadota; Gammaproteobacteria; Enterobacterales; Enterobacteriaceae. The record is from RNAcentral.
UAAUUGAUGGGGUUAGCGGCAACGCGAAGCUCUUGAUCGAAGCCCCGGUAAAACGGCCGUAACUAUAACGGUCCUAAGGUAGCGAAAUUCCUUGUCGGGUAAGUUCCGACCUGCACGAAUGGCGUAAUGAUGGCCAGGCUGUCUCCACCCGAGACUCAGUGAAAUUGAACUCGCUGUGAAGAUGCAGUGUACCCGCGGCAAGACGGAAAGACCCCGUGAACCUUUACUAUAGCUUGACACUGAACAUUGAGCCUUGAUGUGUAGGAUAGGUGGGAGGCUUUGAAGUGUGGACGCCAGUCUGCAUGGAGCCGACCUUGAAAUACCACCCUUUAAUGUUUGAUGUUCUAACGUUGGCCCGUAAUCCGGGUUGCGGACAGUGUCUGGUGGGUAGUUUGACUGGGGCGGUCUCCUCCUAAAGAGUAACGGAGGAGCACGAAGGUUGGCUAAUCCUGGUCGGACAUCAGGAGGUUAGUGCAAUGGCAUAAGCCAGCUUGACUGCGAGCGUGACGGCGCGAGCAGGUGCGAAAGCAGGUCAUAGUGAUCCGGUGGUUCUGAAUGGAAGGGCCAUCGCUCAACGGAUAAAAGGUACUCCGGGGAUAACAGGCUGAUACCGCCCAAGAGUUCAUAUCGACGGCGGUGUUUGGCACCUCGAUGUCGGCUCAUCACAUCCUGGGGCUGAAGUAGGUCCCAAGGGUAUGGCUGUUCGCCAUUUAAAGUGGUACGCGAGCUGGGUUUAGAACGUCGUGAGACAGUUCGGUCCCUAUCUGCCGUGGGCGCUGGAGAACUGAGGGGGGCUGCUCCUAGUACGAGAGGACCGGAGUGGACGCAUCACUGGUGUUCGGGUUGUCAUGCCAAUGGCACUGCCCGGUAGCUAAAUGCGGAAGAGAUAAGUGCUGAAAGCAUCUAAGCACGAAACUUGCCCCGAGAUGAGUUCUCCCUGACUCCUUGAGAGUCCUGAAGGAACGUUGAAGACGACGACGUUGAUAGGCCGGGUGUGUAAGCGCAGCGAUGCGUUGAGCUAACCGGUACUAAUGAACCGUGAGGCUUAACCUU